This 301-nucleotide ribosomal RNA is filed under the name uncultured bacterium. Its description in RNAcentral is "partial 16S ribosomal RNA". It matches the Rfam family "Bacterial small subunit ribosomal RNA", at positions 509 to 807 of the family's 1533-position model. The record is from RNAcentral.
CAGUAGCCGCGGGAAAACGUAGGGUGCAAGCGUUAAUCGGAAUUACUGGGCGUAAAGCGUGCGUAGGCGGUGAGUUAAGUCUGCUGUGAAAUCCCCGGGCUCAACCUGGGAAUGGCAGUGGAUACUGGCUCGCUAGAGUGUGUCAGAGGAUGGUGGAAUUCCCGGUGUAGCGGUGAAAUGCGUAGAGAUCGGGAGGAACAUCAGUGGCGAAGGCGGCCAUCUGGGACAACACUGACGCUGAGGCACGAAAGCGUGGGGAGCAAACAGGAUUAGAUACCCGUGUAGUCCCUGUCUCUUAUAC